AGCGGUUAAGACACCGCCCUUUCACGGCGGUAACACGGGUUCGAAUCCCGUACGGGUCACCA
RNAcentral lists this transfer RNA (62 nucleotides) under Exiguobacterium sp. Leaf187. Its description in RNAcentral is "tRNA-Ser". It matches the Rfam family "tRNA", at positions 14 to 71 of the family's 71-position model. From Rfam's summary of the family: Transfer RNA (tRNA) molecules are approximately 80 nucleotides in length. Their secondary structure includes four short double-helical elements and three loops (D, anti-codon, and T loops). The record is from RNAcentral. Lineage: Bacteria; Bacillati; Bacillota; Bacilli; Caryophanales.